Molecule: long non-coding RNA, 294 nt
Filed under: Ictidomys tridecemlineatus (thirteen-lined ground squirrel)
Lineage: Eukaryota; Metazoa; Chordata; Mammalia; Rodentia; Sciuridae
Description: lncRNA (ENSSTOG00000033243.1)
Source: RNAcentral
CAACUGCCAAGCUUGUUCCAUGUCCUGUUCCAGACUUUCUGGAGCAGAGCCUACAAGUCUCCAUCAUUGCCUUAGACCUUCUAGGAACAUCAGAAUCUGGCAGGCAGAUGACCCCAUGGGGGAAAAAAUGCAAAUACUGAACUCCAGUUACAAACAGAUAAUUGCCAAUCUUCUCUUUACCUCUGACUGGGCCACAUCUGCAGAGGAUUUUCAUUAUUACGAUCUGGGAUUUCAAGGAUCUGUUAUGUCAUUAACUGUCCCCAUUCAAUUCUCUGAAUAAAUUCUGCUCACAUA